Molecule: transfer RNA, 543 nt
Filed under: uncultured Prochlorococcus sp.
Lineage: Bacteria; Bacillati; Cyanobacteriota; Cyanophyceae; Synechococcales; Prochlorococcaceae
Description: partial 16S-23S ribosomal RNA intergenic spacer
Rfam family: tRNA (bases 212-284)
Source: RNAcentral
CAGGGAGACAACAAAAUGUUUAAUAUUAUUAUUUUGUCACCUUAGGUCGAUCGGUAUCUCACGUUCUUAAUUUAUUAAGAAUUUCAUUUCCUAAGUUUUUCUAGGUCACACCCAUUAUUUUUCCUGGGCCAUUAGCUCAGGUGGUUAGAGCGCACCCCUGAUAAGGGUGAGGUCCCUGGUUCAAGUCCAGGAUGGCCCAUAUCUCUAUGUUGGGGGUAUAGCUCAGUUGGUAGAGCGCCUGCUUUGCAAGCAGGAUGUCAGCGGUUCGAGUCCGCUUACCUCCACUGAUUACCACCUCUUCCAUAAUUUGUAGAAAGGAAAUGUUUUGAGUUGUGAUCAAAUUCUGAACGAAUCUAGCUUCCUAAUGAAAGCAUUAAGAUGCUGGACUCAUUGAAUUAAUUUCAUUGUUUUCAGAGAACCUUGACAACUGCAUAGAUUAUUUUUUUUAAAGACAAUAAGCAUCUUUAAUGAUGCAGAUUUAUUAUUUGUGCGAAUGCAUUAAUAACAAUUCUAUUAAGCUGAUGCUUCAAUUUUGAAGUUAUU